This 223-nucleotide ribosomal RNA is filed under the name uncultured bacterium. RNAcentral's name for it is "partial 16S ribosomal RNA". It matches the Rfam family "Bacterial small subunit ribosomal RNA", at positions 568 to 774 of the family's 1533-position model. The record is from RNAcentral.
CGCGUAGGCGGCAUGCCAAGCGUGUGGUGAAAGCCCGGGGCUCAACCCCGGGUCGGCCGUGCGGACUGGCGUGCUUGAGCACUGUAGGGGCGGGUGGAAUUCCGGGUGUAGCGGUGGAAUGCGUAGAGAUCCGGAAGAACACCGGUGGCGAAGGCGGCCCGCUGGGCAGGAAGGCUCGCAAGAGCCGGCUGACGCUGAGGCGCGACAGCGUGGGGAGCAAACA